RNAcentral lists this ribosomal RNA (426 nucleotides) under uncultured Eubacteriales bacterium. Its description in RNAcentral is "bacterial SSU rRNA". It matches the Rfam family "Bacterial small subunit ribosomal RNA", at positions 476 to 901 of the family's 1533-position model. The record is from RNAcentral. Lineage: Bacteria; Bacillati; Bacillota; Clostridia; Eubacteriales.
UACCCGUGGAGGAAGCCACGGCUAACUACGUGCCAGCAGCCGCGGUAAUACGUAGGUGGCAAGCGUUGUCCGGAAUUACUGGGUGUAAAGGGAGCGUAGGCGGGAGAUCAAGUUGGAUGUGUAAUACCGGGGCUUAACCCCGGGGCUGCAUCCAAAACUGGUUUUCUUGAGUGAGGUAGAGGCAGGCGGAAUUCCUAGUGUAGCGGUGAAAUGCGUAGAUAUUAGGAGGAACACCAGUGGCGAAGGCGGCCUGCUGGGCCUUAACUGACGCUGAGGCUCGAAAGCGUGGGGAGCAAACAGGAUUAGAUACCCUGGUAGUCCACGCUGUAAACGAUGAUUACUAGGUGUGGGGGGUCUGACCCCUUCCGUGCCGGAGUUAACACAAUAAGUAAUCCACCUGGGGAGUACGACCGCAAGGUUGAAACU